GCUCAGUCGGUUGAGUGUCCAACUCUUGAUUUUAGCUCAGGUCUUGAUCUCAGGGUUGUGAGUUCAAGUCCCACAUUGGGCU
RNAcentral lists this transfer RNA (82 nucleotides) under Mustela putorius furo (domestic ferret). It matches the Rfam family "tRNA". From Rfam's summary of the family: Transfer RNA (tRNA) molecules are approximately 80 nucleotides in length. Their secondary structure includes four short double-helical elements and three loops (D, anti-codon, and T loops). Lineage: Eukaryota; Metazoa; Chordata; Mammalia; Carnivora; Mustelidae. RNAcentral also lists the same sequence under 1 other name. The record is from Rfam by way of RNAcentral.